RNAcentral lists this small RNA (799 nucleotides) under Pongo abelii (Sumatran orangutan). Its description in RNAcentral is "processed transcript". Lineage: Eukaryota; Metazoa; Chordata; Mammalia; Primates; Hominidae. The record is from RNAcentral.
GCUGAAGAAAUGUCAACAAUUGCGAGUUUUGAAGGAUUCCAGGCUGUGUCUCUGAAGCAAGAAGGAGAUGACCAACCCUCUGAGACUGACCACCUAUCGAUGGAGGAAGAGGACCCGAUGCCAAGACAGAUUUCAAGGCAGUCAAGUGUGACUGAAUCAACUCUUUACCCCAAUCCUUAUCAUCAGCCUUAUAUCUCACGGAAGUACUUUGCUACACGGCUCAGGAGCUCCCAGCUAGAAGGGUCUUGAGGAAUACUGAAUCCAGAAUCCAACCUUUGAUGCACACAAAUGAGGUAUGACUUGGUGCCAAGGUCAACAAGCAACUUCUGGGCCAUGCAAGAACUAGAAGACAGGCCUGGAACCCAGGACCCUCGAUGCUUUCCACCACACCCCACUGCCUCUGACCUUGGAAAAUGAAUGAAAAGUCACGGAAACAAAGAUCCAAACUACUUGCCAUCGUCUGCUUGGAUAACCUUUUCCUUUGGUUUCAGUUCAUCUGCUAUUAUUGCUUACACAUAUCUAAAAAAAGGCCUAGUGCCUUCUCUGAACAAAAGUACCCCUCAAGGCUAAUGACUAGAGGUAUAUUAUGAUAAUCUUCUUGGUUGUGGAGACUGAUAUUCAAAAGCAACUUCUUAUGAAAGGAACAAUACUUAGUCCACAUGGGUAAAGAUAUUUUUAAACUCUCUGUAGGACUCUAUAUUUGCAGAUACCUUGUCAGAAAGUUGAAAGCGAUUUGGGAUGGGGAAUUAUCUCUAAAUUUAUACUCGAGAAUGUAAAUUACAUACAAACUAAUGGGACU